Molecule: ribosomal RNA, 496 nt
Filed under: uncultured bacterium
Lineage: Bacteria
Description: partial 16S ribosomal RNA
Rfam family: Bacterial small subunit ribosomal RNA
Source: RNAcentral
AUUGAACGCUGGCGGCAUGCCUUACACAUGCAAGUCGAACGGUAGAGGGGGCAACCCCUUGAGAGUGGCGAACGGGUGAGUAAUGCAUCGGAACGUGCCCAGUCGUGGGGGAUAGCCCGGGGAAACCCGGAUUAAUACCGCAUACGACCUGAGGGUGAAAGCGGGGGACCGAAAGGCCUCGCGCGAUUGGAGCGGCCGAUGUCGGAUUAGGUAGUUGGUGGGGUAAAGGCCUACCAAGCCUGCGAUCCGUAGCUGGUCUGAGAGGACGACCAGCAACACUGGGACUGAGACACGGCCCAGACUCCUACGGGAGGCAGCAGUGGGGAAUUUUGGACAAUGGGGGCAACCCUGAUCCAGCCAUGCCGCGUGCGGGAAGAAGGCCUUCGGGUUGUAAACCGCUUUUGUCAGGGAAGAAAUGUCCUGGGCUAAUAACCUGGGGGGAUGACGGUACCUGAAGAAUAAGCACCGGCUAACUACGUGCCAGCCGCCGCCGUAA